GCCCUGCUUUUGUGGGGUGCUCGAGUGGCGAACGGGUGAGUAACACGUGAGUAACCUGCCCUUGACUUUGGGAUAACUUCAGGAAACUGGGGCUAAUACCGGAUAGGAGCUCCUGCCGCAUGGUGGGGGUUGGAAAGUUUCGGCGGUUGGGGAUGGACUCGCGGCUUAUCAGCUUGUUGGUGGGGUAGUGGCUUACCAAGGCUUUGACGGGUAGCCGGCCUGAGAGGGUGACCGGCCACAUUGGGACUGAGAUACGGCCCAGACUCCUACGGGAGGCAGCAGUGGGGAAUAUUGCACAAUGGGCGGAAGCCUGAUGCAGCAACGCCGCGUGCGGGAUGACGGCCUUCGGGUUGUAAACCGCUUUCGCCUGUGACGAAGCGUGAGUGACGGUAAUGGGUAAAGAAGCACCGGCUAACUACGUGCCAGCAGCCGCGGUGAUACGUAGGGUGCGAGCGUUGUCCGGAUUUAUUGGGCGUAAAGGGCUCGUAGGUGGUUGAUCGCGUCGGAAGUGUAAUCUUGGGGCUUAACCCUGAGCGUGCUUUCGAUACGGGUUGACUUGAGGAAGGUAGGGGAGAAUGGAAUUCCUGGUGGAGCGGUGGAAUGCGCAGAUAUCAGGAGGAACACCAGUGGCGAAGGCGGUUCUCUGGGCCUUUCCUGACGCUGAGGAGCGAAAGCGUGGGGAGCGAACAGGCUUAGAUACCCUGGUAGUCCACGCUGUAAACGGUGGGUACUAGGUGUGGGGUCCAUUCCACGGGUUCCGUGCCGUAGCU
Molecule: ribosomal RNA, 770 nt
Filed under: uncultured bacterium
Lineage: Bacteria
Description: SSU rRNA
Rfam family: Bacterial small subunit ribosomal RNA
Source: RNAcentral